RNAcentral lists this transfer RNA (67 nucleotides) under Hynobius stejnegeri (amber-colored salamander). RNAcentral describes it as "tRNA-Tyr". Lineage: Eukaryota; Metazoa; Chordata; Amphibia; Caudata; Hynobiidae. The record is from RNAcentral.
UGAUAAAAAAAGGACUCUAACCUUUAUAAAAGGGGCUACAACCCUACACCUAUUCGGCCAUUUUACC